This 128-nucleotide small nucleolar RNA is filed under the name Gorilla gorilla gorilla (western lowland gorilla). RNAcentral describes it as "Small nucleolar RNA ACA64". It matches the Rfam family "Small nucleolar RNA ACA64". The record is from Rfam by way of RNAcentral. Lineage: Eukaryota; Metazoa; Chordata; Mammalia; Primates; Hominidae.
AUUGGUUGAAAAUCACCCCCCCGGCUUUGGCCAUGGCAGCGGGUGAGAUUCGGCACCCAGAGCCUCCAGGGGCUUCAGCUCACCGCGCGCUGACACAUGUGCGGCGGUGAAACCCAGCCCCAACAGGC